CAACUCGGCUCGAAAAAUUCUAAAAAUAUUUUAAAUAUGUAUCAUCGGACUGUUUUUUCGGCAUAAAAUUUGUUGAAGUUAUCCUUCAGGUUACGACUGGUAGAAGUUGUAGCGUGGAGGAAUUAAGCUUCAUCUCUUAAUUAAUCCAUUCCCCCAUUCGGCACGCAUGUUGGUAUGGAAACUACUCUUUCGAAAAAGCACACUUGGAACAUUGGACGCCACUCACGACACUAUUGUUUUCGCCUAUUAAGCUAACACUUGGACUAAUUUUGCUCAGUAUGUCCAUAUACUAACGACGACAUGGAUAUUGUUGAUUACGACGCAGUUCGAGGUGGUACCGGAAAUUCCCUUUUGGCGUUAUCCUGCGGAUCGCGCCUCCACUUACCUUUAGUAGAUUAUUGAAUACAUUUCGGGAAUGCGGCCGAAAACGGCUCCAAAUUCGCAAUACGAAGAUAUUCAAGGUGGUACCGACGCCCACUACUCCUACUCCGUUUUGUUGGUGUCCGACGGCUCGCACCUGUACACGGUAGUUGCUGAAUCAAAAGGAGUUUACAUUUUGUAUUGCAUGAAUAAAAACCAAAACGUUCGCCCUAAAA
Scaptodrosophila lebanonensis is the source of this 596-nucleotide long non-coding RNA. RefSeq lists it as uncharacterized. The record is from RefSeq and is a predicted model, not a curated record. Lineage: Eukaryota; Metazoa; Arthropoda; Insecta; Diptera; Drosophilidae. The transcript has 3 exons.